RNAcentral lists this ribosomal RNA (430 nucleotides) under uncultured Rhodococcus sp. RNAcentral describes it as "bacterial SSU rRNA". It matches the Rfam family "Bacterial small subunit ribosomal RNA", at positions 468 to 896 of the family's 1533-position model. The record is from RNAcentral. Lineage: Bacteria; Bacillati; Actinomycetota; Actinomycetes; Mycobacteriales; Nocardiaceae.
AGUGACGGUACCUGCAGAAGAAGCACCGGCUAACUACGUGCCAGCAGCCGCGGUAAUACGUAGGGUGCAAGCGUUGUCCGGAAUUACUGGGCGUAAAGAGUUCGUAGGCGGUUUGUCGCGUCGUUUGUGAAAACCAGCAGCUCAACUGCUGGCUUGCAGGCGAUACGGGCAGACUUGAGUACUGCGGGGGAGACUGGAAUUCCUGGUGUAGCGGUGAAAUGCGCAGAUAUCAGGAGGAACACCGGUGGCGAAGGCGGGUCUCUGGGCAGUAACUGACGCUGAGGAACGAAAGCGUGGGUAGCGAACAGGAUUAGAUACCCUGGUAGUCCACGCCGUAAACGGUGGGCGCUAGGUGUGGGUUCCUUCCACGGAAUCCGUGCCGUAGCUAACGCAUUAAGCGCCCCGCCUGGGGAGUACGGCCGCAAGGCUA